CUCUGUUCCCCCAUGCUGGCUGUUUCUCCGCGUCCCCCAGUCUUCACUGCCCACAUAGCCUAGAGGGUGAACCCAGGGUCCUGCACAGAAGAGAAGGGCUGGACCACCCAAACACAUGCACCCCCUUUCCCUCUGCCCUACCCCAGCUGGCCUGAGGCUGGACAGGGUCCAGGAGCCCACUGGUGCUGCCUACCCCUGCUCCACAUGGCCCCUCCACUUCCCUUGGUCCAGAGGCACAGCCCCCAGG
RNAcentral lists this long non-coding RNA (247 nucleotides) under Homo sapiens (human). RNAcentral describes it as "HSALNT0156142". Lineage: Eukaryota; Metazoa; Chordata; Mammalia; Primates; Hominidae. The record is from RNAcentral.